AUUCUUCGGGGCGAGGUGGAAUUCCUCACUGGCGGUAAAGCCCGCGACCCUGCUAAGGCAGGCUGAUUUGGUGAAAAUCCAAAGCCAACGGUAUAGUCCGGAUGGAAGAAGAAG
Molecule: non-coding RNA, 114 nt
Filed under: human gut metagenome
Description: FMN riboswitch (RFN element)
Rfam family: FMN riboswitch aptamer (RFN element)
About the family: The RFN element is a highly conserved domain that is found frequently in the 5'-untranslated regions of prokaryotic mRNAs that encode for flavin mononucleotide (FMN) biosynthesis and transport proteins.
Source: RNAcentral